AUUGAACGCUGGCGGCAGGCCUAACACAUGCAAGUCGAACGAGUGGCGGACGGGUGAGUAAUGUCUGGGAAACUGCCUGAUGGAGGGGGUUAACUACUGGAAACGGUAGCUAAUACCGCAUACCAUCGGAUGUGCCCAUAUGGGAUUAGGUAGUAGGUGGGGUAACGGCUCACCUAGUCGACGAUCCCUAGCUGGUCUGAGAGUAUAACCAGCCAAACUGGAACUGGGACAUGGCCAAGCAUCGUAGGGGAGGAAGCAGUGGGGAAUAUUGCACAAUGGGGGAAGGCCUGAUGAAGCAAUGCGGCGUGGAUGAAGAAGGCCUUCGGGUUGUAAAGUACGUUAAGCGGGAAGGCGUUACCCGAAGAAGAAGCACCGGCUAACUACGUGCAAGCAGCCGCGGUAAUUC
RNAcentral lists this ribosomal RNA (406 nucleotides) under uncultured bacterium. RNAcentral's name for it is "partial 16S ribosomal RNA". It matches the Rfam family "Bacterial small subunit ribosomal RNA", at positions 30 to 526 of the family's 1533-position model. The record is from RNAcentral.